This 207-nucleotide ribosomal RNA is filed under the name uncultured bacterium. RNAcentral's name for it is "partial 16S ribosomal RNA". It matches the Rfam family "Bacterial small subunit ribosomal RNA", at positions 568 to 773 of the family's 1533-position model. The record is from RNAcentral.
CUCGUAGGCGGCCAACUAAGUCAGACGUGAAAUCCCUCAGCUUAACUGGGGAACUGCGUCUGAUACUGGAUGGCUUGGAUUCGGGAGAGGAAUGCGGAAUUCCAGGUGUAGCGGUGAAAUGCGUAGAUAUCUGGAGGAACACCGGUGGCGAAGGCGGCAUUCUGGACCGAUAUUGACGCUGAGGAGCGAAAGCCAGGGGAGACGAAC